Molecule: ribosomal RNA, 253 nt
Filed under: uncultured bacterium
Lineage: Bacteria
Description: partial 16S ribosomal RNA
Rfam family: Bacterial small subunit ribosomal RNA
Source: RNAcentral
GACGAACCGUGCGAACGUUGUUCGGAUUCACUGGGCUUAAAGGGCGCGUAGGCGGGCGGUCAAGUCAGGGGUGAAAUCUUUCGGCUCAACCGGAAAAGUGCCUUUGAUACUGGCCGUCUCGAGGGAGGUAGGGGCAUGCGGAACUUCCGGUGGAGCGGUGAAAUGCGUAGAUAUCGGAAGGAACACCAGUGGCGAAGGCGGCUCGCUGGACCGGUCCUGACGUUCAGGCGCGAAAGCGUGGGGAGCAAACAGG